Molecule: ribosomal RNA, 1268 nt
Filed under: Anaedus unidentatus
Lineage: Eukaryota; Metazoa; Arthropoda; Insecta; Coleoptera; Tenebrionidae
Description: 16S ribosomal RNA
Rfam family: Archaeal large subunit ribosomal RNA (bases 1027-1185)
Source: RNAcentral
GGGAUAGUAUUAUUGAUUUUUUUUAUAAUUAUUUUUUGAAUGAAAUAAUAAAUGGUUUAAUUAAUUUUGAAAAAAUAUUUUUUAUAAUAGUGUAAAGUAAUGUGAAUGGAUUGUGUAUUUGGUUUAAAAGAAUAAUUUGUUAUUAGUACCUUGUGUAUCAGGGUUGAUUAAUUUUUAAAUAAGAAUUUAUUUUUCUCGAAAUUAUAAGAGUUAAUUUUAAAUAAAUUUUAUUGUGAAAUAAAUAUUUAUAAUUUAAAGUUAGAAAUGAAAGGUUAGUCGUUUAUAAUAUAUCUAGUUUCUUUAGAUAAAAAUUUAAUUUUGGAGUUAAAAUAUUAAUAAGUAAUUUGUUUAAAUUUAUUAAUUUUAAUAUCUUAAAAAUAAGGGGAUAAGCUUUUAUUUGUUAUAUAAUUUAAAAUUUGUAAAAUGAAUAAUAUGAAUAGAAAUUUUAAUUUUUAAAAGUAUGUUUUAAUAUAUCAUUUUUUUUUUAUGAUUUUUUAUUUUUUAUAUUUUUUAUAAAGAUAGAAGAUUUAAUUUUUAAAUCUUUGUAAUAAUGAUUAAAUUAGUAUAUUUUUUUGUUUUGUUAAGUAAUUGGUUGAGAUUAAAUUAAGGAAUUCGGCAAAAAUUGCUUUCACCUGUUUAUUAAAAACAUGUCUUUUUGUUUAUGAUUUAAAGUCUGGCCUGCCCUCUGAUUAAUUGAAUGGCCGCAGUAUUUUGACUGUGCAAAGGUAGCAUAAUCAUUAGUUUUUUAAUUGAGAGCUGGAAUGAAAGGUUUGAUGAAAAGUAAGCUGUCUAUAUUUAAAUAAUAAAAUUUUAAUUUUAAGUGAAAAUGCUUAAAUUUUUAAUAAAGACGAGAAGACCCUAUAGAGUUUUAUAUUGAUAUUAAAUAAAAAUUUAUGAAAAUUUAAUUUUUAUUUUUUAUUAGUAUUUGAUUGGGGUGAUUUUAAAAUUUUAAACUUUUAAAUUAUUUUUACAUGAAUUAAUGGAUUAUUGAUCUUUUUUCUUGAUUAAUAGAUAAAUUACCUUAGGGAUAACAGCGUAAUUUUUUUUGAAAGUUCAUAUUGAAAAAAAAGUUUGCGACCUCGAUGUUGGAUUAAAAUUAAUUUAAGGUGUAGAAGCUUUAAUAUUAGGUCUGUUCGACCUUUAAAAUUUUACAUGAUCUGAGUUUAGACCGGUGUGAGCCAGGUUGGAUUCUAUCUUGUUAAAGUAUGGAAUUUUUUAGUACGAAAGGACCAAAAAUUUGAAUUAAAUUUUUUUAAUUGAAUAUUAUU